Molecule: ribosomal RNA, 484 nt
Filed under: uncultured bacterium
Lineage: Bacteria
Description: partial 16S ribosomal RNA
Rfam family: Bacterial small subunit ribosomal RNA
Source: RNAcentral
AUUGAACGCUGGCGGCAGGCCUAACACAUGCAAGUCGAGCGGAUGAAGGGAGCUUGCUCCUGGAUUCAGCGGCGGACGGGUGAGUAAUGCCUAGGAAUCUGCCUGGUAGUGGGGGAUAACGUCCGGAAACGGGUGCUAAUACCGCAUACGUCCUGAGGGAGCAAGAGGGGGCUCUUCGGCCCUCACGCUAUCAGAUGAGCCUAGGUCGGAUUAGCUAGUUGGUGGGGUAAAGGCCUACCAAGGCGACGAUCCGUAACUGGUCUGAGAGGAUGAUCAGUCACACUGGAUCUGAGACACGGUCCAGACUCCUACGGGAGGCAGCAGUGGGGAGUAUUGGACAAUGGGCGAAAGCCUGAUCCAGCCAUGCCGCGUGUGUGAAGAAGGUCUUCGGAUUGUAAAGCGCUUUAAGUUGGGAGGAAGGGCAGUAAGUUAAUACCUUGCUGUUUUGACGUUACCAACAGAAGAAGCACCGGCUAACUUCGUG